GAAAGCCUGUCCCAGUUCGGACUGGAGUCUGCAACCCGACUCCACGAAGUUGGAUUCGCUAGUAAUCGCGCAUCAGCCAUGGCGCGGUGAAUACGUUCCCGGGCCUUGUACACACCGCCCGUCAAGCCAUGGGAGCCGGGGGCGCCUGAAGUCCGGGACCGCGAGGACCGGCCUAGGGCGAAACUGGUAACUGGGGCUAAGUCGUAACAAGGUACC
This 216-nucleotide ribosomal RNA is filed under the name uncultured bacterium. RNAcentral's name for it is "partial 16S ribosomal RNA". It matches the Rfam family "Bacterial small subunit ribosomal RNA", at positions 1277 to 1500 of the family's 1533-position model. The record is from RNAcentral.